This 3106-nucleotide long non-coding RNA is filed under the name Sus scrofa (pig). RNAcentral describes it as "lncRNA (ENSSSCG00040035864.1)". Lineage: Eukaryota; Metazoa; Chordata; Mammalia; Artiodactyla; Suidae. The record is from RNAcentral.
GGAGAGAGACCUUCUGUAACUGAAGCACCAGGCAAAUCCUGCUCUAAAUCCUCAUUCUUUUUUAAUUUUUAUAACACCACCACCUUUAUUUUUCACAGCAUCUAGCGUGUAUGUACUGGAUGAUACAUGUCCAAUCAUAACUACUUAUUAUUAUUUAGAUUAUCAGGAGAGGGAGACAAAAAAGCAGUGCCCCUGAAAAACUCAAAAGAAAUAUAGGUUGUCCUCUAAGAGUUUGACUGCAGCUUCACAACGAACUGGGUCAGAGCAGAGAUUCUCAGGUGGACUUAAAGAUGGCUAUUUUGCCAGCCAGAACACUUAUUCCGUGGAAGGCAUGUGCAUUCAUUAAGGAAGAAAGUAUAAUAUCAUGAUAUAAUAAUGCAUAUAAUAUAGUAAUAAUAUAAUGACCCUUGUUUACUUGUGAGCAUUUAUGAGCCUAUCCAAAAGGUAUUAACAUAAGAAAAGAGGCAGUAUCCUGGUGAAAAAGGGAUUACUACAACCAGCCAGGAUCCAAGUCUCCCCUUCUUGAGUGACUUUAAUUUACUAAACCAUGUUAUUAACUUCAAGUAGGAAUAAAAGUACCCACAGUGCUAUAUUUUGAGCAUUAAAAAAAUAACCUCUGUAAAUCACUUAGCACAAUGCCCUGCCUAUGGGAGCCAUAUGGUAAAUUCUUGGUAGCUCCUUAUGAUUGUUAGAAAAAGAGGCAAUGAGCCUGUCUACACACAGGGUGAAGUGGGAGGAAGUUUGACAGCAGAUGCCAAAGGGGCGUCCUACUGACAUGGUUUCCUGCGUGGGGAACAUGGAGGCUUCCCUGACUGACACGUUUCAACAUCAAAUCUACAACUAAGGACCCUGUGUCAGAUUUCAUGCCCACUGAGCAAAUGCACCGCAGGAUGUUAUCAUCGCUGAAAUGAACGAAUUGAUGUUUUGCUUUUCUGUGUCAGUUGUUGCUCUUCUUCAGUCUGAAUAACCAGCCUCUGUCAGUUUGGGGAGAGGGAGGGGAUCAAGAUGGGGUUGGUGGGGGCAAGCCUCGAUUUACGGAACGGGGACAGAGACUAUCUUUGUGAAGUGAGGAACAGGGAGGUUGGUCGCUGAGAGGCUCAAAAACGUCAGCCGGACUAAACAGGUAACUGCAGAAGAGGUUCCCAGAACGCUGCUGUUUCCCCCAACCCAGGAGACAUUUCACUGUAACCACCUAGAUUAUUGGCCACAAAUCCUGUUAAAAAUUGUUUUGAAAAAUGCAGUGGCAGAAGAUUUCAUUCGUCUGUACCCUUGACUGCAUCCAAGGAAGCUUAAAUUGGCUCACAUGCAGAGUGACCACCUGCAGGGCAUCAACCGCAGGUACCAGCUCUGGCUGUCUUUCCUAAGGAAGAGGGAACUAAGGGUUCGGAAGGAGGUUCAGUUCAUCGGUUCACCAUUGCCCUGCGGAUGGCAGGCUCUUCCUGCAUCCUCGUCUGUCACCCCUAACGGUGUGUCCUGCUUCUUUGCCAGCAGAGCCCCCAGGCGCGGACCCGGAUACGCUACGGGCCGGCGUGAGCGGCUUCACUGGCUGCCUCUCUGCUGUGCGCUUUGGCCCCGCUGCCCCGCUGAAGGCGGCGCUGCUCCCGGGCGGCCCUGUUCCGGUCACCAUCCGAGGACACUUGGCCGUCGCGUCCCGCUGCGCGGAGGGGACAGGGCCGGGAGCCCCAGCGCGGGAAGCCACCCGCCCGCUCGCAGGCGGUGCAGGUGUGAUAGCAGUUGUGAUAUUUAUCUUGCUCUGCAUUACUGCUAUUGCUAUACGUGUUUAUCAACAGAGAUGGCUGUACCAAAAAAAUGAGUCAAAUAUUCCCCAAACUGGAGACAACGCUGAGACUGCUCUGAAAAGUGAGCUCAACAUGCAAAGUACAGUGAAUGAAAGCCAGAAAGAAUAUUUCUUCUGAUCAGCAGUGGUGGCUUACUUAUUACUAUGAUGAUGAUGUGACUUUCUUGCUAAGCCAGGGGCUCCCAGUGGGUGAAACUCCCUUCUCCUCCUCCUGGGAGAGACGGUUGGUGUGCAGCCCUGUGAGCUUGCUCAGCAUGGUUGCUGGAGGCUCUGCUCAGUGCUCCUUCUUGAUCUAUUUAUGUAACAGUGACUUAGGUGUGCUCAUUAAUCACAGUCUGGCAGUUUCUGACUGUUCUGACCUGAUCUUCUGAAAUUGAAAUGUAUUUUGCAUAAUUACUUUGGGAUUUAAGUGAGAACAAGGAUCUGAGCUACGGCCCUACUCUCUUAAAAAUUCAACGUGAAAGUUUAUAAAAGUCAAAGUUGGAUGCUAAUGUUUUAUGUUACAUGGGAACCUCCGUUAUGCUUCCUUUAUCAAUCUACCACUGGCAUUUAUAAACCAGGACGUGCUUCUCAGAUGACCUUCAGCCACAUUUCCAUAUUCCUGUGAACCAGCACUCAGUGGCCAAACAUGCAUUAGAAACCUAAAAAAAAACCCAAUUUUUUGCCUGAUUGUUUUUUACUAUUUGUCUCUUUUAAAUCAGUUUUGAUAUUUUUUAGUGAGGAAAUGAGCGUGGAAUGUCAGCUAUGAAAUUCUAGUAUGAAGUUCAGUCACAGAAAAGAAAAUUCAUAGGUGAAAAAAUGUGAAAAGGAUUUCCAUCUGGAAUAAUUUGCAUAUUUGUCUUUGUCAUUUGUCAUUAUACUCUUUGUAAAUUGUAUGACUGAUCUCACAAAAACGUCUAUUUUCUAACUGCCCAUGUAUAAACUCCGAAUUUAACAUUUAAAAUGUAUCCUCCAUCCAUAUCUGAAUGAAAUAUAAUCCUAAAUUUAUUUCCUGUAUAUACGGGGGAUUAGGUUGCUUUUCUUUGUAGGUUCUGUGGGUUUUUUUAUCUGACUGUUAAAACAACAAACCUUUGAUUUCCUGUGACUGUUCAUUUAUUAGGGAAGAAGUCCCAUUUUGAACUAAAUCUCUCCAUUUUCAUUUCUAAAUGUUGAGCUCAUCUAGGUGAAACUUCUCUGAGGUACCCUCUCGCCUAGGUACUAUUUGGACUAUCAGCAGAGGGAUGCUUAUGCUAAGGGAAGAUACAGGUUAUGUGAUCUGAACUAAAUCUGUCAUUCCAGCCACAAUUUUAGGAUCUUGAGAUCAGUUUC